RNAcentral lists this long non-coding RNA (690 nucleotides) under Ricinus communis (castor bean). RNAcentral describes it as "long non-coding RNA (RCOM_LNC000110)". The record is from RNAcentral. Lineage: Eukaryota; Viridiplantae; Streptophyta; Magnoliopsida; Malpighiales; Euphorbiaceae.
GGCAAUAGAUAGAAUUGAAAACACACCCAUCUUCUUCGCACCAAACCCCUCGCCCUGGAUUAUCUUUAAGAGUAAUAUUGUAAAGACGCUGAUCUACUGAUGCAAUAUCAGCCAUGAGAACAGGUACGCUUUUUGUAUUGUUGCUGCAAUAUUCAAAUCUUUCUUUUCCUAGAGACGUUAAGUGAAUUUUUGAUGUCGAAGUCAAUGAGCAUCUGACAUAUAAUUGAUUUUCAGGAAGACCCAAUGGACUUUUGCAGAGUGAACAAGAAAUUUGUAAUUUCUGAUCCAUGACAGGAUCAGAAUUGAUGCUUGAUGGAGCACAAUUAUUUGUUGGGAGGACUCGUGGCGCUUUUGAUUCCAUGGACUGGUGUUCUGCAGAGUCAGUCGCCAAAUCAAAUUCAAUCCUGCGAUUUGCAUCUUUACUGGCCAUUGUAUCAGUUGUGGAUCUAAAACAGCCAGGAGAUUCCAUAUCGGGGGAAUCAGGUCCUUCAACAAGGUUAAUAAAUGGCAAGCCUAUGGGCUGCCUCUUUUUCUGUGUAUGAGAAUUAACACUCAAAUUAAGAGUAGACUCAGCUUCUGGUAUCAGGCUGCAGGUGUUUGCAUUGAAGUCUUUCUUGGGAGUUACUGCCAAUGAACAGCAGGCUUUGCCAGGAUCUUUACUUGCGUUUGUUAGAGACACUGAAUAAGAUG